GCCAGCGUAGCUCAGGGGCAGAGCAGCUGAUUCGUAAUCAGCAGGUCGGUGGUUCAAAUCCACUCGCUGGCCCCA
Molecule: transfer RNA, 75 nt
Filed under: Candidatus Poribacteria bacterium
Lineage: Bacteria; Candidatus Poribacteria
Description: tRNA-Thr
Rfam family: tRNA
About the family: Transfer RNA (tRNA) molecules are approximately 80 nucleotides in length. Their secondary structure includes four short double-helical elements and three loops (D, anti-codon, and T loops).
Source: RNAcentral